This 547-nucleotide long non-coding RNA is filed under the name Prunus dulcis (almond). RNAcentral's name for it is "sRNA ncRNA". Lineage: Eukaryota; Viridiplantae; Streptophyta; Magnoliopsida; Rosales; Rosaceae. The record is from RNAcentral.
AAACAUUGUGUCCAUGUUGUCUUAGUAGCCGAAAACCAAGAGAAACAUUGUAUAGAUCACCAUCACCAUCAUCAUCAUCAUGGAAAUGAUUUGCAGCAUAUAUAUGUUCCAGUGCUUCUUCUAUUUCCUUUUCAAAGUGGUACGCCACGCCUAGGCGCUGGAUUGCAUCAAUUAGCUUCAUCUGAUUUGAAAAAUCAUCUGCACUGGUUGUAAACACUUCCCUCUUCACUGCUAGUUUCAAUUCUUCUACUUCUUGUUGCUUAUGGGCAUAAGUUAUCUGCAUCCACAAAAUUGAAUGAGCAAAAUACAUGUCAAAUUUCUUUUGAAACAAAACAGAGAAACAUGCAUUUAGUCAUUGAAACAAUCUGUAUGAUAUAUAAAUUACAAUGUCUACUGAAUCAUAAUUCAUAAACUGAUCCCCCCAAAUGCUCGGGUGGUAAUUUGCUGUCCGUCGAACAAUUUGAUCAGCCUUAGAAUUUUGUGAUUGAGCAGUUGAACCAGCUUCUAGAACCAUGAUUUGUACUUGUGUAAAAAUGUCAGAUUUUUU